GACGAACGCUGGCGGCGUGCCUAAUACAUGCAAGUCGAACGCUUCUUUUUCCACCGGAGCUUGCUCCACCGGAAAAAGAGGAGUGGCGAACGGGUGAGUAACACGUGGGUAACCCACCCCGAUGACCGGGACAACCCGAGGAAACUCGGGCUAAUACCGGAUGUGCUCCUUGACCUUGAGGUCAAGGCGUAAAGAUAGCUUCGGCCUUCGCAUCGGGACGGGCCCGCGGCCCAUUAGCUUGUUGGUGGGGUAACGGCCUACCAAGGCGACGAUGGGUAGCUGGUCUGAGAGGACGAUCAGCCACACUGGGACUGAGACACGGCCCAGACUCCUACGGGAGGCAGCAGUGGGGAAUCUUGCGCAAUGCGCGAAAGCGUGACGCAGCAACGCCGCGUGGGGGAAGAAGGCCUUCGGGUUGUAAACCCCUUUCAGUUGGGACGAAGCUUCGCCGGUGAAUAGCCGGCUGGAGUGACGGUACCUUCACAAGAAGCCCCGGCUAACUACGUGCCAGCCGCCGCAGUAAAAC
This 526-nucleotide ribosomal RNA is filed under the name uncultured bacterium. RNAcentral describes it as "bacterial SSU rRNA". It matches the Rfam family "Bacterial small subunit ribosomal RNA", at positions 28 to 526 of the family's 1533-position model. The record is from RNAcentral.